GCUUCCUUAGCUCAAUUGGCAGAGCACCGCUCUUGUAAAGCGGAGGUUUUCAGUUCGAUUCUGAAAGGAAGCUCCA
This 76-nucleotide transfer RNA is filed under the name Clostridia bacterium. Its description in RNAcentral is "tRNA-Thr". It matches the Rfam family "tRNA". From Rfam's summary of the family: Transfer RNA (tRNA) molecules are approximately 80 nucleotides in length. Lineage: Bacteria; Bacillati; Bacillota; Clostridia. The record is from RNAcentral.